This 490-nucleotide ribosomal RNA is filed under the name uncultured bacterium. RNAcentral's name for it is "bacterial SSU rRNA". It matches the Rfam family "Bacterial small subunit ribosomal RNA", at positions 30 to 507 of the family's 1533-position model. The record is from RNAcentral.
AUUGAACGCUGGCGGCAUGCCUAACACAUGCAAGUCGAACGGAAACGAUUAAGAGCUUGCUCUUAAGGCGUCGAGUGGCGGACGGGUGAGUAAUACUUAGGAAUCUGCCCAGUAGUGGGGGACAACUCGGGGAAACUCGAGCUAAUACCGCAUACGCCCUACGGGGGAAAGCGGGGGAUCUUCGGACCUCGCGCUAUUGGAUGAGCCUAAGUCGGAUUAGCUUGUUGGUGAGGUAAUAGCUCACCAAGGCGACGAUCCGUAGCUGGUCUGAGAGGACGAUCAGCCACACUGGGACUGAGACACGGCCCAGACUCCUACGGGAGGCAGCAGUGGGGAAUAUUGGACAAUGGGCGCAAGCCUGAUCCAGCAAUGCCGCGUGUGUGAAGAAGGCCUGCGGGUUGUAAAGCACUUUCAGUAGAGAAGAAAAGCUCAAGAUUAAUACCCUUGAGUCUUGACGUAACCUACAGAAGAAGCACCGGCUAACUCCGUG